This 639-nucleotide ribosomal RNA is filed under the name Salmonella enterica subsp. enterica serovar Infantis. RNAcentral's name for it is "partial 23S ribosomal RNA". It matches the Rfam family "Bacterial large subunit ribosomal RNA", at positions 711 to 1346 of the family's 2925-position model. Lineage: Bacteria; Pseudomonadati; Pseudomonadota; Gammaproteobacteria; Enterobacterales; Enterobacteriaceae. The record is from RNAcentral. RNAcentral also lists the same sequence under 1 other name.
AGACCCGAAACCCGGUGAUCUAGCCAUGGGCAGGUUGAAGGUUGGGUAACACUAACUGGAGGACCGAACCGACUAAUGUUGAAAAAUUAGCGGAUGACCUGUGGCUGGGGGUGAAAGGCCAAUCAAACCGGGAGAUAGCUGGUUCUCCCCGAAAGCUAUUUAGGUAGCGCCUCGUGAAUUCAUCUCCGGGGGUAGAGCACUGUUUCGGCUAGGGGGCCAUCCCGGCUUACCAACCCGAUGCAAACUGCGAAUACCGGAGAAUGUUAUCACGGGAGACACACGGCGGGUGCUAACGUCCGUCGUGAAGAGGGAAACAACCCAGACCGCCAGCUAAGGUCCCAAAGUCAUGGUUAAGUGGGAAACGAUGUGGGAAGGCCCAGACAGCCAGGAUGUUGGCUUAGAAGCAGCCAUCAUUUAAAGAAAGCGUAAUAGCUCACUGGUCGAGUCGGCCUGCGCGGAAGAUGUAACGGGGCUAAACCAUGCACCGAAGCUGCGGCAGCGACACUCAGGUGUUGUUGGGUAGGGGAGCGUUCUGUAAGCCUGUGAAGGUGUGUCGUGAGGCAUGCUGGAGGUAUCAGAAGUGCGAAUGCUGACAUAAGUAACGAUAAAGCGGGUGAAAAGCCCGCUCGCCGGAAGACC